UGGGGCAGCCCUGUUGGGCACGCGUGAUUGGGGGAAUGGAGGAGGCUAGGGCAUGAAAGGGGAUGGCAGAGGGGACCCUGACUUGGAGGAAAGACAAUGAGCUCACCCCUUUGUGCCCUAUGUUGGGGGCAGUGUUGGUGCAUCCUACAGGACAUGACCAGCAGACAGAAGAGCAGCUGUAGGAUGAGAAGAUGAACUCAGAGAUGCAGCGUGAGGCCUCCAGGUCCAGACAGCUCUGGAGCCCAAAGUGAUGAGCCGUGCAUUGAUGUUAAAACGGAGGUUAUAAAUAUUUAAAGUGUCACCCAAGUGUGUUCUAAUAUAAAUGCUGUGACCCUGAGGUCCUGGGGAUUGAGAGAGGAAGUGAUGUCACUGUGGGAACUGCCCUGUGGGGACAAGGACGUCCGUCAUCCUCUGCUCCUGCUCACAGUGACAUUGAUCUGGUAACGCCCCUGUCCUGGCCUGACCCUGCCAUGGGCACCAGGCUCCUCUGCUGGGUGGUCCUGGGUUUCCUAGGGACAGAUCACACAGGUGCUGGAGUCUCCCAGUCCCCGAGGUACAAAGUCACGAAGAGGGGACAGGAUGUAGCUCUCAGGUGUGAUCCAAUUUCGGGUCAUGUAGCCCUUUAUUGGUACCGACGGACUCUGGGACAGGGGCCAGAGCUUCUGACUUACUUCCAGAAUGAUGCUCAACCAGACAAAUCAGGGCUGCCCAGUGAUCGCUUCUCUGCAGAGAGGACUGAGGGAUCCGUCUCCACUCUGAAGAUCCAGCGCACAGAGCAGGGGGACUCGGCCGUGUUUCUCUGUGCCAGCAGCUUAGCCACAGCGUGGCACAGUCGUCUCCUUCCUGUUCACAAACCUCGUCCUUCUCUCUCCUUGAAGCUACUAGAGACCCUUAGCAGAGGCCUCUCUUUCUCCUUACUUUUCAUGGGAAAGGAGUAGAUUUGGACAUCGGCUGUCCUUUGGGUAGAAAGAGACCACAGAUUCAUUCGUGAAACACAGUGACUGCAAAUGUAGGUGGUGAAAACAAUCACGGCCCGCUGCACUCUAGGAGUCCUCGGAACCAGCUCACUUCUUCAAGCAAGGAGUGGGUGUCUUAGCCUCGGCCUUCAGGGCAGACAUGCAUCUUCUAUAGGUCUUGGAGGCUGCAGUGUUGCCCACAUACUUGAGGUUGUCAAAAGCAGGAAACAUGCUUUUCUCAUGCGUAUGUUGAGGCAUCUGGAAGGUCUGAGGCUACAUCCCAGGAACAUCUUUCUUCUGAAGCCUCUUCUAUCCCUGUCACCUUGGAAGUUUUCUGCAACAAAAUAUCAAACCUCUCUACCUGUUUAAAAUACAGGUCUUUGCAAAUUUUUGGUCCUUACUUGAUAAAUACAAUCAUGAUAACAGUAAGACUUCAUUUCAUCUACCUACUUUAAGCCAUGUGUAUCCUUUAUUUUGUUUCCAUUUGCCAUUGCUGCUGUCCUGAUAGACAGAAGCAUGCAUUCACCACCGCUGU
Molecule: non-coding RNA, 1491 nt
Organism: Macaca mulatta (Rhesus monkey)
Lineage: Eukaryota; Metazoa; Chordata; Mammalia; Primates; Cercopithecidae
Source: the annotation of a RefSeq genome assembly